RNAcentral lists this unclassified non-coding RNA (388 nucleotides) under Hevea brasiliensis (rubber tree). Lineage: Eukaryota; Viridiplantae; Streptophyta; Magnoliopsida; Malpighiales; Euphorbiaceae. The record is from RNAcentral.
UUUAGAUAUGGAUUGUUUUGUGGAGCUAUCAGCUUUUGUAAUCUGUUUUUUUUAUUAUUUUUUGUUUCUUCAUUAUCUAUGAUUAAGAUCUUUCUAAAACAACUUAAUUAUUAAAAUAGUUGAUGGCUUUCAGUAUAUAAUUAUAUGACAUCAGAUGUUAGCAAUCUAUAUAACUCUUAUCAAGAAUUUUGUUGUCAAUGGAGUGCUGCAUGUAGUCAUGUUUUAAUGCCUCAUUUUCAAUUAACUAGCCUUGCAUCAGUUUGUUGAAAAUUAUGUUCUGUGCACAUGAAGGUUACUGUAUUCUUCUUUGUAGACUAUCAUAAUGUAUUCCUGUCUAAUAGCAUUUUCAAUCUCAUUUUUUGCAGGCAACGACUGUUAGUAGUGGGUG